Molecule: long non-coding RNA, 1112 nt
Organism: Medicago truncatula (barrel medic)
Lineage: Eukaryota; Viridiplantae; Streptophyta; Magnoliopsida; Fabales; Fabaceae
Exons: 2
Source: RefSeq, a predicted model, not a curated record
AUAUUAAGUGUUUUUGUUUCUCUUGCAAAAUUUUAUUCUGUAUUGAUACAUCUGCUAAUUUGGUAACUUUGGAAAGGUUUUGUAAAUUUGGUUUCAUUCUUUAACAUUAUAUACUUAAUUACAAUGAGUUCCACUUCCCUUUUUAAGAACUUGAGCAAGCUUUGGUGUAGAUUUAUUGAGACAUAAGACCUAGAGUAGACUGGUUAAAUCCAUCUAACCAAAUUGGAUUUGUGAUUAGAUAAUUAAAGGUUUUGUGGAAUCUGCUAAUACGGCUUCAGGUAAUCAUCUCCCACCUCCUGAUUUGAUAAAUCAGGUUGAGUCCACAUAGGGAUGGUUUGGGUUCUGUGGUGCAAUCCCGAAGGGACUCUUCAACCAACCAAAUAAUUGCAGAUGUAUCAGCAACAAAAAUGACUGGAGCACCCACAACGUUUGUUCGAGAUUUAUUCAGAUGGAGUUUUGUGAUUUAUUGGGAUGGAGGUAGAAUCUUUCCAUAGUUGAGUGAAAGAGAAGGAAAUGAAGAAUACAUUGAACUUUACAAACUUUGAGGGAAAAGGGAAAUGCAAAACUACUACUUUUAGAUCAUUUUACCAAUUCCAAAUUGAAACUAUGUCAAGUAAAAUCAGUUAACCUUUGUUUUAAAUCAGGGAGUACACAUCAUCAUUUGAAGUUAGUAUAUGUCUUUUUCAGAUUCAAAGGAAUAAAGAGCAGAGGCAAUAUGUGUGGUUUUGCAGUUUUGAGUUAAGUUAUGUAUCAAAUGUAAGCUUUUGAGUGGAAAAAAGAUCUAAAAUUAUGUAUCAGAAGCACUUGGAUUCCUGCUGAUAGAAAAUUAGUGGAAAAAAGAUCUAAAAUGCAUCCACUCCAAAGAGUUCUAAAAUGUCAUGCAUCAAGAUUGAAGAUUCAAAGUAAGAGUUCUAAAAUGUCUUUAGUGAAAUCAUUUUGGCUAUCUAAUGUUUUGUUCACCCUUUCGUAGUUGAAAUUUUCCAUUUAUGAUUUGUCAUAUUUUGUGUGAAUAAUGUAAGGGCUGAGUUAACUAUUUUGGAUACAAAUUUGUAUUUGUAACUUUUGCUGGAUUGGCUUUAAUCAAGGGGGUGUAUUGGAUUGAGAUUUUAAAA